CGUGCUGGGUCUCUAGCCCUUGCCUGGUGUGGGUUUGGCGCCCUGCCCCCAACCCAGGGGGUGGAACUACCUCUCCCAGCAGCUUCCCUCUUCCCCUGGCAGAAUGGCGUGCGAGCUCUUCCUCCUCUCCUCCCUCUGGUUCCUCUUCCUCAUCUUCUGGAUGGAGACCAUCAGCCUCUGGCUCUUCCUGUGCAACUUCUACCAGGACCGAGCCUUCUACCACUGGGGGGAGCGGGGGUUGGUCUCUGACCCAGGCCAUGUGCUCUACAUCUUCGUCAGGUGAGAACUUGCUGGUUCCAGGCCGCGCCUGGCAGCCCAGCGCUGGGCCUGGCCGGCCGCCAACCUGCUCCCAGCACAGCGGCUGGGGAAGACGAGCACACAGCUGGUCCCCGGCUGGCUGGAGGACGUGAGUUCAGAGGUGGGGAUCCCAGGGUAGGAGGCACCUGCUGCCGCCCCCACCAGGCUCAGAACUCAGUCAGGCACCGUGUUGAACCCUGGCCGGUGAGGGACCCGUCUGUGCAGCUGGCAGAGCAAACGGAGCCAGGGCAUCAGGGGCUAGGACUUGCGGCCAGCUGCUGGAGCAUGGGAGGGGCACGUGGCCCGUCCCCACCCCACAUUCGGAGGGACGGAGGCAGCACUGGUGCUGCAGGCCAUGCAGGCCUCCAGUGAUUCCACCCCCUGGCCCGGGGAAAAUGUGGAGCUAGCUGCCGGGGGAGGCACAAAGCCGUUAACCAGCCCCUCUGUGGGGGUGCAGGCCACUGUGCUGGGUCCACACUGUUAGAGCAGCCUUGGGGCUGCUCUCAGUUCUGCUCUAGCUGAGGAGGGGACAUGGCCUUGCAGUGCAGCCUGGACACCUCCAUGAGCCUGGGGCUCCUGUGUAAAUAAACAGCUUCAGCAGCAGCCUGUUUCCA
RNAcentral lists this long non-coding RNA (911 nucleotides) under Chelonoidis abingdonii (Abingdon island giant tortoise). Its description in RNAcentral is "lncRNA (ENSCABG00000022027.1)". Lineage: Eukaryota; Metazoa; Chordata; Testudines; Testudinidae. The record is from RNAcentral.